AACAGCCUGACCAAAGAGGUGAGAGUGGGUGCUCUGCUCCAGAAAUGCUUCCAAGAAGGAUGCAACAGAGUGUUCAGGAAAGGUUCAAAGUUCCUUCGCUCUCCCAAUGUGGCCCCUCAUUCAAGACACAGGCUUCUCCUUCUCCUUUUAGACCAGUUCCCUGAAAACAUCAGACUAAUGACUAGUCCAUCCUGGAUGGUUGCAUGAAUGAGGAAAUUUGCAAAAACAGUUCUGGCAGGAUGUCUAGUGAGUUUGUGUGCCCCUAUGCCUAAUAUGGAGAGGAGAGACGAGAACCGGAGAGCUGGGAUGCUGGAAUAGCCUGCACGCCACAGAUCGACAAAGCAAGACAUUUUCAUGGACCCUACAGCUCACAGGGCUUAAUUUUGUUUCUCAACCAAAAUGCCAAGAUCAAGCUGAGCUGAA
This is a long non-coding RNA of Homo sapiens (human), 423 nucleotides long. RefSeq lists it as uncharacterized. The record is from RefSeq and is a predicted model, not a curated record. The transcript has 3 exons. Lineage: Eukaryota; Metazoa; Chordata; Mammalia; Primates; Hominidae.